GCAGCCGCGGUAAUUCCAGCUCCAAUAGCGUAUAUUAAAGUUGUUGCAGUUAAAAAGCUCGUAGUUGAAUUUUAGGCCUGGCCGGACGGUCCGUCUCUGGCGAGUACUGUUCUGUCGUCGGGUCUAUCUUUCUGGUGAAUCGGUAUGUUCUUAAUUGGGCGUGCCGGGGAGCCAGGACCAUUACCUUGAAAAAAUUAGAGUGUUUAAAGCAGGCUUUUGCUUGAAUAGAUUAGCAUGGAAUAAUAGAAUAGGACGUUGUGGUUCUAUUUUGUUGGUUCAAGGACCACCGUAAUGAUUAAUAGGGAUAGUUGGG
This 313-nucleotide ribosomal RNA is filed under the name uncultured Archaeospora. RNAcentral describes it as "SSU rRNA". It matches the Rfam family "Eukaryotic small subunit ribosomal RNA", at positions 570 to 886 of the family's 1831-position model. The record is from RNAcentral. Lineage: Eukaryota; Fungi; Glomeromycota; Glomeromycetes; Archaeosporales; Archaeosporaceae.